Molecule: transfer RNA, 90 nt
Filed under: Shewanella woodyi ATCC 51908
Lineage: Bacteria; Pseudomonadati; Pseudomonadota; Gammaproteobacteria; Alteromonadales; Shewanellaceae
Description: tRNA-Ile (TAT) (tRNA-Ile-TAT-1-1)
Rfam family: tRNA
About the family: Transfer RNA (tRNA) molecules are approximately 80 nucleotides in length.
Source: RNAcentral
GGGUCGUUAGCUCAGUCGAUUCUUUAUGAAGGAUAGGGCAGUUGGCUUAUAACCAAUCAGUCGAAUGGUUAGAACCUUCACGAACCACCA